AUUAUGCUCUGUGCAUAAUCAGAUAGCAAGCCAAAGAUAAAGCUGGGAUUAGAAUUACCUUCUUAAAUCCUUAGCUUAUCAAGAGGUAAAGCUGGUGAAUAUUACUACCUCUGUAGCAGCAGCACCAAACCCUCUCACCCAGGAUUCGAGACCUCCCCCAUCUAUCAGCGAGCUUACAGCGACUGAAGCUGCCACCUGGGACGCAAAACUUCCUGUAACUGAAGGACAUUCAAGUACAUAUCAGUGGAAAUUACUUCAUUUUAUACCACUUCCUAACUAGUAACCAUAGAACCAUGAAAAAAAACAUUCAAAAUCCAGAAGUUUUCUCCUGAAUUCAAUGUAAAUUCAAUCCAAUCACUUCGUACAGACCUCCUUCGUUGUUACCACCCCAAAUUUUCAUUUCCAAUCUCCACAGUCAUACAUCAAGAAGAACGCAAGCUACUUAGAGAAGUCAACAUACUCGCUGUUGUGCAAACUCAUUCUUAAGUAUCUUCGUUUGCCAAAUGGGGAGUCGUCCAACAGAUGUUGAAAACAAGCCUUCCCUGCAAGAUUCCGGGGGUCUAACAGCCCUUGCCUGCCUUCUAAGAGCCCUUCCCUCUUUCUCAUCCUAGACUUCCUUCUUCCCAAUUUCACAAAACCAGGAGUGUUUUGUGUAUACUCGGGAGGAAGCAACAGAGAAAACAAGAGAAAUGCUGUUGGAGGGCAUCUGGGUGUCUCCGUCGGUUGAGCGUCUACCUUCAACUCAAGUCAUGGUCCGAAGGUCCUGGGAUUGAGCCUGGCACUGGGCUCCCUGCUCAGCGGGGCGUCUGCUUCUCCCUCUGCCUCUGCCCGCCCCCCACCCCCGCUCCUGCUCUCUCUCCCUCAAGUAAAUAAAUAAAAUCCUUAAAAAAAAAAAAAAAAAAGAGGUGCUGUUGUAAAAAUUUGUGCUGAUUACUUCCUUAUAUCUAAACUUUGAGCAACCUAUAAGAUUGACGCUGAACCCAGAACACAGGCUGCUUAUUUUCUCAAAAAGAUAAAGCUUGUUUCUAACCUAGAAUUAAUUCUUUGCCCUGACUCCAAGGCAAAUCUGUCUCUCACUGCUAGAUCUAUGAAAAGACUAUGACCUUCCCCCUGAUAAGCCACAAACUGGC
This 1130-nucleotide long non-coding RNA is filed under the name Ursus maritimus (polar bear). RNAcentral describes it as "lncRNA (ENSUMAG00000014805.1)". The record is from RNAcentral. Lineage: Eukaryota; Metazoa; Chordata; Mammalia; Carnivora; Ursidae.